CCUACGGGAGGCAGCAGUGGGGAAUAUUGGACAAUGGGGGGAACCCUGAUCCAGCGACGCCGCGUGAGUGAUGAAGUAUUUCGGUAUGUAAAGCUCUAUCAGCAGGGACGAAAAUGACGGUACGUGACUAAGCAGCCCCGGCUCACUACGUGCCAGCAGCCGCGGUAAUACGGAGGGGGCAAGCGUGAUCCGGAGUUACUGGGUGUUAAGGGGGCGUAGGCGGUACAACAAGUCUGAUGUGAAAGGUCGUGGCCAAACCCUGGAACUGCAUUUGAAACGUUUGAUCUGGAGUACAGGAGAGGGAAGCGGAAUUCCUGGGGUAUGGGUUAAAUGCGUAGAUAUUAGGGGGAAAACUAGUGGCGAAGGCGGCUUACUGGAAUGUAACUGCCGUUGAGGCUCGAAAGCGUGGGGAGCAAACAGGAUUAGAUACCCCUGUAGUC
Molecule: ribosomal RNA, 440 nt
Filed under: uncultured bacterium
Lineage: Bacteria
Description: partial 16S ribosomal RNA
Rfam family: Bacterial small subunit ribosomal RNA
Source: RNAcentral